RNAcentral lists this ribosomal RNA (253 nucleotides) under uncultured bacterium. Its description in RNAcentral is "partial 16S ribosomal RNA". It matches the Rfam family "Bacterial small subunit ribosomal RNA", at positions 524 to 776 of the family's 1533-position model. The record is from RNAcentral.
UACGUAGGGGGCUAGCGUUGUCCGGAAUCAUUGGGCGUAAAGCGCGUGUAGGCGGCUCGGUAAGUCCGCUCUGAAAGCCCGGGGCUCAACCCCGGGAGGCGGGUGGAUACUGCCGGGCUAGAGUCCGGAAGAGGCGAGUGGAAUUCCUGGUGUAGCGGUGGAAUGCGCAGAUAUCAGGAGGAACACCAAUGGCGAAGGCAGCUCGCUGGGACGGUACUGACGCUGAGGUGCGAAAGCGUGGGGAGCGAACAGG